Molecule: long non-coding RNA, 4123 nt
Filed under: Salvator merianae (Argentine black and white tegu)
Lineage: Eukaryota; Metazoa; Chordata; Lepidosauria; Squamata; Teiidae
Description: lncRNA (ENSSMRG00000017095.1)
Source: RNAcentral
CUCCCUCUCUUCCAUUUCGGCAGCUGGCAGGACUACAUUCAGCGGAAACGAUGCAUUAAAUGCCCAGAUGAAGAGGUCCCUUUUAACCAGGCGCUGAAAACUCUGUGAAGUUNGUGCCUGGCUUACCUCCAUAGACUAUCCCAAAGCCUGGGGUCCGUCAUCUCUGAGGCCGUGAAUUACAGCGGCUAUUAACGAUGCGCUUCAUUCUGUGAUAGAAUGGCAGUUUUCUUGGGAGUCCGAGCAGUUGAGAAACGGUUUUGUAAGAGGGGACGGAAGGCAGGCGAAACAAAUGUGCGGGUGAAAAUACGAGCAAGUGUGUAACUGAACGACUGAGAAAUAGGGGGAGGCAAAGAGGAGCGAAUUUCGCUAGGAGCAUCUCCGCGCUCGCUUUCCCCGCUACUUNCUUCAUUCAAAAAUUUAACCCUUAACCUUCACAGCGGCUAGAACUGAAAAGGGAGUUCCUCCUCCUUCAUAAUCCUUCACUUGUAACAUCACGAUGAAAAAUGAAACAUCAGCAACAAGUGAAAAACGGCGGGGUGGGGCGGAGCGGAGCACUUAUAAGGUGACGGUUUGGGGCGCCUGAGGGCUGCUGGAGCUUGUUGCAACAAGAACAUCUGUCAGUUUUGGGGAUUUGGCCGCUGCAAUGGCAUCUUUUCAGGAGGAACAAAGACGUCCCUGGUGUUUUCUCACCGUUCUGCUGCUAACCGUUUGCGUUUUCAGCGCCUUGCUAACGACGCUGGCGGCACUAGCCGCGACCCUGGCGCCGCAAGGAAAGCAAUCACGGGAGUCGUCGCAAGGCCUCCAGUUUAUAACGAGCCCUGGCGGUGGGUCCAGUACAGAGACGUUACCGGAGACUGCUUGCAUGGGUUUUGGACAGCUCAACGAGCCUUUGUCUUCUUCCACUUCUGCUCAACUGGUCCUUAAGCUCAAUGAAAACGGUACCAUACGGAACAGGACACUGGAAUGGUAUGACAAGUCAGUUGAUAGGGCGUUCCUUGGUAGUGGAUUUAACUACACUGGUACAAAACUGAUGGUUCUCAGUGCUGGCUUUUACAAGAUUUAUGCACAUAUGACUGUGAAACGCCAGGAUGUAAACUCUGAAGAGGAAGUGAACACCAGCUUGAUUGUCCAUCAUUGUAAGGCUAACAGUUUGAUUUCUUCUCCUGUACUCACCCUCCCCUUGCAUUUGUCUUCCACUUCAAAUAAGAAAGUCACAGCAUUCAUGGCUACCUCAUCUUACUGGCUGGCAGAACAGGACACUCUCUUUGUGUAUUUAACAGCUGGUACUCACUCAGGUUUUACUUGGUCCCUUGAUAGCCAGUGCAACAUUUUUGGAGUCUCCAAGAUCUCUGCAGGUUCUAAUUGAGAUGCUCCUGGAGUCAACUUCACUUUUUUCUCCAGAGAAGAGGAUGUUCAAGAAUGGUGGCGAAUAAUUUCAAGCCAUGCCUGUGACGGUUCCUCCAGUCCUAAAACAACGAUUCAGAAGCUCAGGCACAUGUGCCUUGGCUGAAACAGAACUAAGAAAUUCAUGGACAUUUAAUAUCUGUUCAACAUAUUGUUGCAAAAUACAUUCUUCUGUGUUGGAACUAAGCUAGUGUGAGUAAUUGGCAUGAGUCAUGACACUGUUCAGGAUGGUUGUGCCCACGAAGUUUGAGGAAAUGGAGAGCAGAACAGCUGGUCACAGAAAGGGGAGUUAAGGGUAGGGUGAGCUCUGCAAGGCUGCAGCCCUACACACAUUUAUAAGGGAAGCAACCUUUGAACAUAGAGUGCAAAUUAGUUCUGUGUAAAAUGCAUAAGUAUAAGUACUGUCUCUAAGUUCUUUGAAGACACUUUAAAGUUUUAUGCUGCAAAUUUGAGGCAUGAAAUGGGGAAUGGGCCAGCUGCUAGUGCCAUGUGACCAUGGCCCUGGAGAUCAUGUCUCUUGAGGCCCACUCUCACCAGUAGACAUUGUAGUCUGCAAAGGCAGCUAGCAUAGAUCAAAAGGGGCCUUUGGACCUUUCUGCACUUACAUUUAGGUUAGUCUAUGAUGUAGUCUAUGGAUCUUCUUUCUUCAUCAUAGACCAGUCCAAGCGAGGCCCUGUCCACUACUGGUAUGNUCCGUUCACAUAGGUCAUAGAUAAUCCAGAUCAAAGGGACCUUGAUCUGGAUUGCUGGUAGACCAGCAGGCCCCAACCCAGAACAUGGAGGCAACCAUUUUCUGGACUAGUGGGGGAUUCAUUUCAGGGGCAUCUCAAAGCAGCCACUAAAAUGAAUUCCCAGGGCUUCAAGGCUAGAAACCUUUAUUCCUAGCUCUUCAGACAGAGCCCAUCCCCAAAGCUUGUGCAAGUUUUGGCGUCAGUGCAGGGGCUGGUCUGGACAGGCACUGUUGUGUAGACAAUGCUUUUCCAGUCCUCUGUGUGCUGUGAACUGAACCAGUGGGCCUGGCUGGUUCCAACCCCACUGUAUCCCAAUCAUGGCCUUUUGAGUACAGAAUGGCCCAGAUCUUCCAAAGUGGUAAGAAGCCACUUUGAGGUACUUUACCCAAGCUACAAUUCAUUUUAUGCCUUAAUUUAUAUAUUAACUAAUUUAUAGUUGUAAUCAUUAAGUUUAUUAUAUUGAUCUAUUUAAUCUAUAAAUUAAACUAUCCCAUUUUAAAUUGUACUUGAUAACUGAAAGUAAUAACACAACCUAGUUCCAAUGGUGUUAUGGUGCUAUAUUGCUGCUUGUGCAUGCUUUUGUAUAUUUAUCUGCAGAAAAUUUGGUUUCUGUACCCUCUUUCAUUUUACCCAAUAUUCUUUUUCCACAAACCAUCUUCACUUCCAGUCUUUCCCAUAGACAAAUGUGGCCACCCUGCUAUUAUACUAUUGCUAACACUUGUUUUCAACACCUCUCCUGAUAGUUGUAACCAAGCAGUUACAGAACAUCAAAUUCUACAUAAGCAUGGUGAUGGACGGUUUUGUCCCUUCGUCACCAGACCGCUUAGUAUUCAUGCUAACUGGGGAAGAAGGGAAGUCCUGUUCAUCAAGUCCAGAAUGGAAAUGCCAACUACUACUGUAACUCCUUUUUUGCACUGGCUGCUUUACCAGGCAUAUUUAAAAAGCUUCUGUAGAUGUGCAUACUGGUCUCAGGUGUAUGUGUAAAAUAUAUGGCCACUUGUAAUUUGGAAAAAAAUCUGAUAGAAAAAAGUUCACCAACCUUUAAUCUUUAUUAAGUUAAGAAGUCUUCAUUGAGCUCAGAGAAGAGCCUUCAGUUCCUUGGACUUUGUGCAGGAGUGUUUUCUGGUGUACCUUUACAGAAGAGGUAAUGUUAAAAUACAUUUCUACUGACCUUCAUUACAAACCUUAAGGCAGUGGUGCUUAUCAUGUGGUGGUGGUGGUGGUAGUGGAAGCAAAAGGAACCUAUUUUUACUACAGUGUUGCAGUUUCAAGUAGCCACCUAACUUAACAGUUCAUCUUCUGAAAAGGUUCAUAAGUUGCAAACUAUUCCAUGAAUCAAUCGGUCUUCCUGAAUGACCUGUUUCAAGCUCAGACUAUGCCUAGGACAAGGGCCCUUUCUGCACUUGGCCUUAUUCCAGAUUAUAUCUCAGAAUAAGGACCUGCCAUCUGCAUGCUAGUGCAGACUAUGGUAGACCCUGGGCAAGACCUUUUAUAGUUUGCACUAGCAGGUGGAUAGCAGGUCGCUAUUCUGGGAUAUAAUCCACAAUAAGGCCAAGUGCAGAAAGGGCCAAUGUGUCACCAGUAUGAUCCAUCUCUCCAUUUAGACAAAAUCAGUGUCUUGGACUCGUAAUGGACUAAAUGGUGGAUGUUAAGUUGAAGAUGAAUCCUGAGAAGAUAUCCUAUCUGUAUGUCUUAGGUUUUCUCUCCUGAGGGUUUUACUCUUGAAGGAACAAGUAUGUGAUCUAGGGGUACUCCCAGAUCCAGCAUUGUCAAAGUGGCAGUGAAACAGGAAUGGAAGAGAAAUCUCUUAGGAUGAAUUUAGAAAAUUUGUACUCUGUGAACCAAAAUUCAGGUGUCCUCAGAAGCUUGCAUUAUUCUGAUUUUUGUGAUUUCACCGUUUAAUCAAAAUGCCUUAACAGAAAGGAAUAUUUUAGGAAAAGAUGUAAAAAUAUGUAUAUCAAAAUAAAAUUCAUAAAAUUCUUUAUACA